Molecule: ribosomal RNA, 253 nt
Filed under: uncultured bacterium
Lineage: Bacteria
Description: partial 16S ribosomal RNA
Rfam family: Bacterial small subunit ribosomal RNA
Source: RNAcentral
GACAGAGGUGCCGAGCGUUAGGCGGAAUCACUGGGCUUAAAGCGUGUGUAGGCGGGCGGGCAAGUACCUUGUGAAAUCCCACGGCUCAACCGUGGAACGGCUGGGUAUACUGCCUGUCUUGAGCCAACUAGGGGCGAGCGGAACAGACGGUGGAGCGGUGAAAUGCGUAGAUAUCAGGAGGAACACCGGUGGUGUAGACGGCUCUCUGGACCGUAACUGACGCUGAGGCACGAAAGCGUGGGUAGCAAACAGG